GACCAGACUCCUACGGGAGGCAGCAGUGGGGAAUCUUCCGCAAUGGGCGCAAGCCUGACGGAGCAAUGCCGCGUGAACGAAGAAGGUCUUCGGAUUGUAAAGUUCUGUCCUUAUCGAAGAGAGGGUAUAGAGUGAAAAAUGAUAUACUAGGACGGUAGAUGAGGAGGAAGCCCCGGCUAACUACGUGCCAGCAGCCGCGGUAAUACGUAGGGGGCAAGCGUUAUCCGGAUUUACUGGGUGUAAAGGGAGCGUAGACGGUUAUGUAAGUCUGGAGUGAAAGCCCGGGGCCCAACCCCGGGACUGCUUUGGAAACUGUGUAACUGGAGUACAGGAGGGGCAGGCGGAAUUCCUGGUGUAGCGGUGAAAUGCGUAGAUAUUAGGAGGAACACCAGUGGCGAAGGCGGCUUACUGGACUGUAACUGACGUUGAGGCUCGAAAGCGUGGGGAGCAAACAGGAUUAGAUACCCCUGUAA
Molecule: ribosomal RNA, 473 nt
Filed under: uncultured bacterium
Lineage: Bacteria
Description: bacterial SSU rRNA
Rfam family: Bacterial small subunit ribosomal RNA
Source: RNAcentral